RNAcentral lists this transfer RNA (71 nucleotides) under Planctomycetota bacterium. RNAcentral's name for it is "Planctomycetes bacterium (freshwater metagenome) tRNA-Gln". It matches the Rfam family "tRNA". From Rfam's summary of the family: Transfer RNA (tRNA) molecules are approximately 80 nucleotides in length. Lineage: Bacteria; Pseudomonadati; Planctomycetota. The record is from RNAcentral.
UCGGGGAUCGUCUAAUGGUCGGACAUCGGUCUUUGAAUCCGGCAAUGGAGGUUCGAAUCCUUCUCCCCGAA